RNAcentral lists this ribosomal RNA (387 nucleotides) under Triticum aestivum (bread wheat). RNAcentral describes it as "partial small subunit ribosomal RNA". Lineage: Eukaryota; Viridiplantae; Streptophyta; Magnoliopsida; Poales; Poaceae. The record is from RNAcentral.
AUGUCCCAAGAAGAGGUGCGCCUGCAGUCGAGAAGAGGAGAUGGCAAUGAAUAUGUUUAUAGAGUGGCUAACCAGCGAGGUUUUUGGGAGUUCUAUAAUUGUAAUCAAACAGGGCAUAUUAGCCGUUUCUGCAGAAGAGACAGAGGCCGAGGGUACAGUGUUGGCAGUAGCAGCCGAGGUGGUUGGAAUGGGAGUGGUGGUUCUUGGAAUGCUUCUCACUGGAAUGCUCCCAAGGCAAAUGUAGCUGCUUCAGCUGAAGGAAAGCAACAGGAGGACAGGAGACUGCUACUAGCUAUGCCAACUUUGUCGAUACAAAUGAAGGAGAGAUCGGCGGGCAGGAGCCUUGGAACUAUAAGGAGAUGGGACAUGUGUCUUUCGAUAAAGUGA